This 492-nucleotide ribosomal RNA is filed under the name uncultured bacterium. RNAcentral describes it as "partial 16S ribosomal RNA". It matches the Rfam family "Bacterial small subunit ribosomal RNA", at positions 29 to 507 of the family's 1533-position model. The record is from RNAcentral.
AGUGAACGCUGGCGGUAGGCCUAACACAUGCAAGUCGAACGGCAGCACAGUAAGAGCUUGCUCUUACGGGUGGCGAGUGGCGGACGGGUGAGGAAUACAUCGUAAUCUACUUUUUCGUGGGGGAUAACGUAGGGAAACUUACGCUAAUACCGCAUACGACCUACGGGUGAAAGCAGGGGAUCUUCGGACCUUGCGCGAUUGAAUGAGCCGAUGUCGGAUUAGCUAGUUGGCGGGGUAAAGGCCCACCAAGGCGACGAUCCGUAGCUGGUCUGAGAGGAUGAUCAGCCACACUGGAACUGAGACACGGUCCAGACUCCUACGGGAGGCAGCAGUGGGGAAUAUUGGACAAAGGGUGCAAGCCUGAUCCAGCCAUACCGCGUGGGUGAAGAAGGCCUUCGGGUUGUAAAGCCCUUUUGUUGGGAAAGAAAAGCAGCAGGUUAAUACCCCGCUGUUCUGACGGUACCCAAAGAAUAAGCACCGGCUAACUUCGUG